This 471-nucleotide ribosomal RNA is filed under the name uncultured bacterium. Its description in RNAcentral is "SSU rRNA". It matches the Rfam family "Bacterial small subunit ribosomal RNA", at positions 26 to 518 of the family's 1533-position model. The record is from RNAcentral.
AGGACGAACGCUUGCGGCAUGCCUGAGAAAUGCAAGUCGAGCGGGGAGAGGGGCAACCCUUUUCUAGCGGCGAACGGUCGAGUAACGCGUAAGCAACCUGCCCGGAAGCGGGGGAUAAGCCGGAGAAAUCCGGGGUAAUACCGCAUAGCUUGGGGGGAGACCUCUCCCUUCAAGAAAGGUGAGCGAUCAUCACUUUCGGAGGGGCUUGCGGCCUAUCAGCUAGUUGGGGGGGUCACGGCCUCCCAAGGCGACGACGGGUAGCUGGUCUGAGAGGACGGCCAGCCGGACUGGGACUGAGACACGGCCCAGACUCCUACGGGGGGCAGCAAUCAGGAAUCUUGCACAAUGGACGAAAGUCUGAUGCAGCGAUGCCGCGUGGGUGAGGAAGUCCUCGGGAUGUAAAGCCUUUCUGGAGGACGAUGAUGACGGUACUCCAGGAAUAACGCCCGCUAACUACGUGCCAGCAGCCGC